This 292-nucleotide ribosomal RNA is filed under the name uncultured bacterium. RNAcentral describes it as "partial 16S ribosomal RNA". It matches the Rfam family "Bacterial small subunit ribosomal RNA", at positions 505 to 796 of the family's 1533-position model. The record is from RNAcentral.
GUGUCAGCAGCCGCGGUAAUACGUAGGGUGCGAGCGUUAAUCGGAAUUACUGGGCGUAAAGUGUGCGCAGGCGGCGCUGCAAGUCGAGUGUGAAAUCCCCGAGCUUAACUUGGGAAUUGCGCUCGAAACUAUGGCGCUGGAGUAUGGCAGAGGAAGGUGGAAUUCCACGUGUAGCGGUGAAAUGCGUAGAGAUGUGGAGGAACACCGAUGGCGAAGGCAGCCUUCUGGGCCAUUACUGACGCUCAUGCACGAAAGCGUGGGGAGCAAACAGGAUUAGAAACCCUGGUAGUCC